Molecule: microRNA precursor, 115 nt
Filed under: Rhipicephalus microplus (southern cattle tick)
Lineage: Eukaryota; Metazoa; Arthropoda; Arachnida; Ixodida; Ixodidae
Description: microRNA rmi-mir-5333 precursor
Source: miRBase by way of RNAcentral
GCACGAGUUACUUCUGCGUUUGACCGGAUGUGUUGUGAUUACAGCAGCUCUUUCGGUGCGUGUAAGCAGUGCGGAAAGCUGUGGCAGUGCAAUGGUGUACGGUGAAGCGCAGCGA